Long non-coding RNA from Amborella trichopoda, 851 nucleotides. RefSeq lists it as uncharacterized. The record is from RefSeq and is a predicted model, not a curated record. Lineage: Eukaryota; Viridiplantae; Streptophyta; Magnoliopsida; Amborellales; Amborellaceae.
AAUCCAAAGAAACCAAUGGGUUUAUCGAAAAAUAAACUCCUCAUAAAAAAAAUGGAGGGCCACGUUUCCAACAUGCAUCAACAUCUCUCUUAAUCUUAUAAAGACCUAACCCUUUUAAGCAUUAACAACUGUCUUUUAUGUAAUGGACCUCGCCCCUUCUAAGCAACAACACCUAUUGACCAUGAGUACCGUGGAACCAGAUGAAGAAGCCCAACAAGACCUAAGAAUUUACAAUUCAACAGGCACCACCUUCUCCAAGACUUGCUUCAACUUGCUCAAUUCUUUAUUCCGGUACUGACCUUUUCCUUCAUCACUUGUGCCGUGGCUUAUGCACUGAUGUCGAUACUUAGUUACCUAAUGUUUGGGGACCAAAUAAAAUCAUAAAUUACGCUAAAUCUCCCUGUUAUAAAUUUUAGCUCCAAGAUUGCAAUUUAUGUUGUUGUUAUACUUCCAUUAUCAAAAUAUGCACUAGUCAUGGCUCCUGUCGCAGCUGCUAUCGAAGAGAUAUUUCCUCUUUGCAAGAAGUGUGGGGUGAGUCUAUCAUUGACGAUGAUGAUGGUGGCUAUCAAAGUCAUAGUUGCUCUAAUAUUUCCAUUUUUUGGGUCCAUGAUGGCAUUUAUCGGAUCAUUUCUUGGUAGCACUACUACUCUAAUUCUACCAUGUAUUUGCUACCUGAAGAUCUUUGAGGGCAUAAAGAGUUGCAGAGUUGAGAUCGUUAUAGUGAUGGGGAUUUUGAUGAUAGGUUUUUGGAUUGCACGUCUUGAGAAUUAUUUCAAUGUCAAGCGCAUUGUGCAGCAAAUGUAAAUUCUUGAUGAGAUAAUUCAUGUGAUCUUGAUAAUUUCUAGAGUAAA